GACGAACGCUGGCGGCGUGCUUAACACAUGCAAGUCGAACGGAAAGGCCCUGCUUUUGUGGGGUGCUCGAGUGGCGAACGGGUGAGUAACACGUGAGUAACCUGCCCUUGACUUUGGGAUAACUUCAGGAAACUGGGGCUAAUACCGGAUAGAAGCUCCUGCUGCAUGGUGGGGGUUGGAAAGUUUCGGCGGUUGGGGAUGGACUCGCGGCUUAUCAGCUUGUUGGUGGGGUAGUGGCUUACCAAGGCUUUGACGGGUAGCCGGCCUGAGAGGGUGACCGGCCACAUUGGGACUGAGAUACGGCGCAGACUCCUACGGGAGGCAGCAGUGGGGAAUAUUGCAGAAUGGGCGGAAGCCUGAUGCAGCAACGCCGCGUGCGGGAUGACGGCCUUCGGGUUAUAAACCGCUGUCGCCUGUGACGAAGAGUGAGUGACGGUAAUGGGUAAAGAAGCACCGGCUAACUACGUG
This 468-nucleotide ribosomal RNA is filed under the name uncultured bacterium. RNAcentral describes it as "partial 16S ribosomal RNA". It matches the Rfam family "Bacterial small subunit ribosomal RNA", at positions 28 to 507 of the family's 1533-position model. The record is from RNAcentral.